GGAUCAAUUUAUUGGUCGUGCUAUUGUACGUACUGGUAUUAUUGAUUCCUACCUUCUGACGAACCAUGAUGUCAUUAAUUUGGUGUCAUGGGGAAUCAGGACUGUUACUUUGAAAAAAUUAGAGUGUUCAAAGCAGGCCUUUGCCCGAAUACAUUAGCAUGGCAUAAUAAAAUAGGACGU
This 180-nucleotide ribosomal RNA is filed under the name uncultured Glomeromycotina. RNAcentral describes it as "partial small subunit ribosomal RNA". It matches the Rfam family "Eukaryotic small subunit ribosomal RNA", at positions 653 to 830 of the family's 1831-position model. The record is from RNAcentral. Lineage: Eukaryota; Fungi; Glomeromycota.